Vicia faba (fava bean) is the source of this 327-nucleotide non-coding RNA. The record is from the annotation of a GenBank genome assembly. NCBI's taxonomy places the organism in Eukaryota, Viridiplantae, Streptophyta, Magnoliopsida, Fabales, Fabaceae.
AUGAUGACUGACUUGCACUUCAUGCCUCUGUGCUCGAAUUCUCCACAAGGAUGCCCACAAAACGACCACGACAUGCACCAUGCCAGCUUCCAACACGUUGUCGGCUGCCUAAACCAAACUCAUUGCCACCAUAGGCCCAUCAUUACAUACCUGCAUAAAAAAUUGAUGCUGCAUCAAAAUCCCCUACAAAUUUACAGCCCCGCUGCAAUAUACGCCAGCAUUACCAACCUGCACAAAGCUACUCAUAUCAGAAACAUAAAACGUAAGAGAAAAACCUGCAUACAAAACAUAGUUCCUAAUUUUUUCUACCAGUUCUUAACCAAUUAA